This 497-nucleotide ribosomal RNA is filed under the name uncultured bacterium. RNAcentral's name for it is "partial 16S ribosomal RNA". It matches the Rfam family "Bacterial small subunit ribosomal RNA", at positions 28 to 507 of the family's 1533-position model. The record is from RNAcentral.
GACGAACGCUGGCGGCGUGCCUAAUACAUGCAAGUUGAGCGCUGAAGGUUGGUAUUUGUUCCCACUGGAUGAGCAGCACACGGGUGAGUAACGCGUGUGACAUCUCCCUUAGAGCGGGGGACAACAUUUGGAAACGAAUGCUGAUACCGCAUUAAAACUUUAAACACAAGUUUUAAGUUUGAAAUAUGCAAUUGCAUCACUCAAAGAUGCUUCCGCGUUGUAUUAGCUAGUUGGUGAGGUAAAGGCUCACCAAGGCGAUGAUACAUAGCCGACCUGAGAGGGUGAUCGGCCACAUUGGGACUGAGACACGGCCCAGACUCCUACGGGAGGCAGCAGUAGGGAAUCUUCGGCAAUGGACGGAAGUCUGACCGAGCAACGCCGCGUGAGUGAAGAAGGUUUUCGGAUCGUAAAACUCUGUUGUUAGAGAAGAACGUUGGUGAGAGUGGAAAGCUCAUCCAGUGACGGUAACUAACCAGAAAGGGACGGCUAACUACGUG